UACAGAGGUCUCGAGCGUUGUUCGGAUUCAUUGGGCGUAAAGGGUGCGUAGGUGGCACUGUAAGUCGGGUGUGAAAUCCUGAGGCUUAACCUCGGAACUGCAUUCGAUACUGCGGUGCUUGAGGACUGGAGAGGAGACUGGAAUUCAUGGUGUAGCAGUGAAAUGCGUAGAGAUCAUGAGGAAGACCAGUGGCGAAGGCGGGUCUCUGGACAGUUCCUGACACUGAGACACGAAGGCCAGGGGAGCAAACGGG
This 253-nucleotide ribosomal RNA is filed under the name uncultured bacterium. RNAcentral describes it as "partial 16S ribosomal RNA". It matches the Rfam family "Bacterial small subunit ribosomal RNA", at positions 524 to 776 of the family's 1533-position model. The record is from RNAcentral.